This 2902-nucleotide ribosomal RNA is filed under the name Escherichia coli. RNAcentral describes it as "23S ribosomal RNA". It matches the Rfam family "Bacterial large subunit ribosomal RNA". Lineage: Bacteria; Pseudomonadati; Pseudomonadota; Gammaproteobacteria; Enterobacterales; Enterobacteriaceae. The record is from RNAcentral.
GGUUAAGCGACUAAGCGUACACGGUGGAUGCCCUGGCAGUCAGAGGCGAUGAAGGACGUGCUAAUCUGCGAUAAGCGUCGGUAAGGUGAUAUGAACCGUUAUAACCGGCGAUUUCCGAAUGGGGAAACCCAGUGUGUUUCGACACACUAUCAUUAACUGAAUCCAUAGGUUAAUGAGGCGAACCGGGGGAACUGAAACAUCUAAGUACCCCGAGGAAAAGAAAUCAACCGAGAUUCCCCCAGUAGCGGCGAGCGAACGGGGAGCAGCCCAGAGCCUGAAUCAGUGUGUGUGUUAGUGGAAGCGUCUGGAAAGGCGCGCGAUACAGGGUGACAGCCCCGUACACAAAAAUGCACAUGCUGUGAGCUCGAUGAGUAGGGCGGGACACGUGGUAUCCUGUCUGAAUAUGGGGGGACCAUCCUCCAAGGCUAAAUACUCCUGACUGACCGAUAGUGAACCAGUACCGUGAGGGAAAGGCGAAAAGAACCCCGGCGAGGGGAGUGAAAAAGAACCUGAAACCGUGUACGUACAAGCAGUGGGAGCACGCUUAGGCGUGUGACUGCGUACCUUUUGUAUAAUGGGUCAGCGACUUAUAUUCUGUAGCAAGGUUAACCGAAUAGGGGAGCCGAAGGGAAACCGAGUCUUAACUGGGCGUUAAGUUGCAGGGUAUAGACCCGAAACCCGGUGAUCUAGCCAUGGGCAGGUUGAAGGUUGGGUAACACUAACUGGAGGACCGAACCGACUAAUGUUGAAAAAUUAGCGGAUGACUUGUGGCUGGGGGUGAAAGGCCAAUCAAACCGGGAGAUAGCUGGUUCUCCCCGAAAGCUAUUUAGGUAGCGCCUCGUGAAUUCAUCUCCGGGGUAGAGCACUGUUUCGGCAAGGGGGUCAUCCCGACUUACCAACCCGAUGCAAACUGCGAAUACCGGAGAAUGUUAUCACGGGAGACACACGGCGGGUGCUAACGUCCGUCGUGAAGAGGGAAACAACCCAGACCGCCAGCUAAGGUCCCAAAGUCAUGGUUAAGUGGGAAACGAUGUGGGAAGGCCCAGACAGCCAGGAUGUUGGCUUAGAAGCAGCCAUCAUUUAAAGAAAGCGUAAUAGCUCACUGGUCGAGUCGGCCUGCGCGGAAGAUGUAACGGGGCUAAACCAUGCACCGAAGCUGCGGCAGCGACGCUGAUGCGUUGUUGGGUAGGGGAGCGUUCUGUAAGCCUGUGAAGGUGUGCUGUGAGGCAUGCUGGAGGUAUCAGAAGUGCGAAUGCUGACAUAAGUAACGAUAAAGCGGGUGAAAAGCCCGCUCGCCGGAAGACCAAGGGUUCCUGUCCAACGUUAAUCGGGGCAGGGUGAGUCGACCCCUAAGGCGAGGCCGAAAGGCGUAGUCGAUGGGAAACAGGUUAAUAUUCCUGUACUUGGUGUUACUGCGAAGGGGGACGGAGAAGGCUAUGUUGGCCGGGCGACGGUUGUCCCGGUUUAAGCGUGUAGGCUGGUUUUCCAGGCAAAUCCGGAAAAUCAAGGCUGAGGCGUGAUGACGAGGCACUACGGUGCUGAAGCAACAAAUGCCCUGCUUCCAGGAAAAGCCUCUAAGCAUCAGGUAACAUCAAAUCGUACCCCAAACCGACACAGGUGGUCAGGUAGAGAAUACCAAGGCGCUUGAGAGAACUCGGGUGAAGGAACUAGGCAAAAUGGUGCCGUAACUUCGGGAGAAGGCACGCUGAUAUGUAGGUGAGGUCCCUCGCGGAUGGAGCUGAAAUCAGUCGAAGAUACCAGCUGGCUGCAACUGUUUAUUAAAAACACAGCACUGUGCAAACACGAAAGUGGACGUAUACGGUGUGACGCCUGCCCGGUGCCGGAAGGUUAAUUGAUGGGGUUAGCGCAAGCGAAGCUCUUGAUCGAAGCCCCGGUAAACGGCGGCCGUAACUAUAACGGUCCUAAGGUAGCGAAAUUCCUUGUCGGGUAAGUUCCGACCUGCACGAAUGGCGUAAUGAUGGCCAGGCUGUCUCCACCCGAGACUCAGUGAAAUUGAACUCGCUGUGAAGAUGCAGUGUACCCGCGGCAAGACGGAAAGACCCCGUGAACCUUUACUAUAGCUUGACACUGAACAUUGAGCCUUGAUGUGUAGGAUAGGUGGGAGGCUUAGAAGUGUGGACGCCAGUCUGCAUGGAGCCGACCUUGAAAUACCACCCUUUAAUGUUUGAUGUUCUAACGUUGACCCGUAAUCCGGGUUGCGGACAGUGUCUGGUGGGUAGUUUGACUGGGGCGGUCUCCUCCUAAAGAGUAACGGAGGAGCACGAAGGUUGGCUAAUCCUGGUCGGACAUCAGGAGGUUAGUGCAAUGGCAUAAGCCAGCUUGACUGCGAGCGUGACGGCGCGAGCAGGUGCGAAAGCAGGUCAUAGUGAUCCGGUGGUUCUGAAUGGAAGGGCCAUCGCUCAACGGAUAAAAGGUACUCCGGGGAUAACAGGCUGAUACCGCCCAAGAGUUCAUAUCGACGGCGGUGUUUGGCACCUCGAUGUCGGCUCAUCACAUCCUGGGGCUGAAGUAGGUCCCAAGGGUAUGGCUGUUCGCCAUUUAAAGUGGUACGCGAGCUGGGUUUAGAACGUCGUGAGACAGUUCGGUCCCUAUCUGCCGUGGGCGCUGGAGAACUGAGGGGGGCUGCUCCUAGUACGAGAGGACCGGAGUGGACGCAUCACUGGUGUUCGGGUUGUCAUGCCAAUGGCACUGCCCGGUAGCUAAAUGCGGAAGAGAUAAGUGCUGAAAGCAUCUAAGCACGAAACUUGCCCCGAGAUGAGUUCUCCCUGACCCUUUAAGGGUCCUGAAGGAACGUUGAAGACGACGACGUUGAUAGGCCGGGUGUGUAAGCGCAGCGAUGCGUUGAGCUAACCGGUACUAAUGAACCGUGAGGCUUAACCUU